RNAcentral lists this ribosomal RNA (859 nucleotides) under uncultured soil archaeon. Its description in RNAcentral is "bacterial SSU rRNA". It matches the Rfam family "Archaeal small subunit ribosomal RNA", at positions 21 to 859 of the family's 1478-position model. The record is from RNAcentral.
ACCCCACUGCUAUCGGGAUGGGACUAAGACAUGCUAGUCGUGCGCUUCCAGCCAUGUGGGAGGCGCGGCAGACAGCUCAGUAACACGUGGCUAACUGCCCUUAGGAUGGGAACAACCCCGGGAAACUGGGGCUAAUUCCCGAUAGGUGAGGAACUCUGGAAUGAGUCUUUGCCCAAAAGGUGUCGGAUCAUGCUUUCGGCAUCGCCUAAGGAUGGGGCCGCGACCGAUCAGGUUGUUGGUGAGGUAAUGGCUCACCAAGCCUUUUACCGGUGCGGGCCGUGAGAGCGGGAGCCCGGAGAUGGGCACUGAGACAAGGGCCCAGGCCCUACGGGGCGCAGCAGUCGCGAAAACUUUGCAAUAAGCGAAAGCUUGACAGGGCUAUCCCGAGUGCCAUCCGCUGAGGAAGGCUUUUACCCAGUCUAGAACGCUGGGGGAAUAAGGAGAGGGCAAGUCUGGUGUCAGCCGCCGCGGUAAUACCAGCUCUCCGAGUGGUGUGGAUGUUUAUUGGGCCUAAAGCAUCCGUAGCUGGCUAAGUUAGUCCCUUGUUAAAUCCACCGAAUUAAUCGUUGGAUCGCGGGGGAUACUGCUUGGCUAGGGGACGAGAGAGGCAGACGGUAUUUCCGGGGUAGGGGUGAAAUCCUAUAAUCCCGGGAAGACCACCAGUGGCGAAGGCUGUCUGCUAGAACGCGCCCGACGGUGAGGGAUGAAAGCUGGGGGAGCGAACCGGAUUAGAUACCCGGGUAGUCCCAGCUGUAAACGAUGCAGGCUAGGUGUUUGGACGGCCACGUGCCGUUCUAGUGCCGCAGGGAAGCUGUUAAGCCUGCCGCCUGGGGAGUACGAUCGCAAGAUUGAAACUUAA